CAACCUGCCGAUAACUCGGGGAUAGCCUUUCGAAAGAAAGAUUAAUACCCGAUGGCAUAAUUAGACCGCAUGGUUUGAUUAUUAAAGAAUUUCGGUUAUCGAUGGGGAUGCGUUCCAUUAGGCAGUUGGUGAGGUAACGGCUCACCAAACCUUCGAUGGAUAGGGGUUCUGAGAGGAAGGUCCCCCACAUUGGAACUGAGACACGGUCCAA
RNAcentral lists this ribosomal RNA (211 nucleotides) under uncultured bacterium. RNAcentral describes it as "partial 16S ribosomal RNA". It matches the Rfam family "Bacterial small subunit ribosomal RNA", at positions 122 to 334 of the family's 1533-position model. The record is from RNAcentral.